GGAAGAGCAACAUCCCCGGUGGGGUGCCCGGACUUCAAAUCCGGCGAGAGGCGCGCGGCGUCUUUGGUGGGUUCGACUCCCUCCUCUUCCGCCA
RNAcentral lists this transfer RNA (94 nucleotides) under Paracoccus aurantiacus. RNAcentral describes it as "Paracoccus sp. TK008 tRNA-Sec". It matches the Rfam family "Selenocysteine transfer RNA". Lineage: Bacteria; Pseudomonadati; Pseudomonadota; Alphaproteobacteria; Rhodobacterales; Paracoccaceae. The record is from RNAcentral.